This 406-nucleotide ribosomal RNA is filed under the name uncultured bacterium. RNAcentral describes it as "partial 16S ribosomal RNA". It matches the Rfam family "Bacterial small subunit ribosomal RNA", at positions 29 to 526 of the family's 1533-position model. The record is from RNAcentral.
AUUGAACGCUGGCGGCAGGCCUAACACAUGCAAGUCGAACGAGUGGCGGACGGGUGAGUAAUGUCUGGGAAACUGCCCGAUGGAGGGGGAUAACUACUGGAAACGGUAGCUAAUACCGCAUACCCUCGGAUGUGCCCAGAUGGGAUUAGCUAGUAGGUGGGGUAACGGCUCACCUAGGCGACGCUCCCUAGCUGGGCUGAGAGGAUGACCAGCCACACUGGAACGGAGACACGGCCCGGACUCUGACGGGAGGCAGCAGUGGGGAAUAUUGCACAAUGGGCGAAAGCCGGAUGAAGCCAUGCGGCGUGUAUGAAGAAGGCCUUCGGGUUGUAAAGUACUUUCAGCGAGGAGGCGUUACUCGCAGAAGAAGCACCGGCUAACUCCGUGCCAGCAGCCGCGGUAAUUC